GAUGAACGCUGGCGGCGUGCUUAACACAUGCAAGUCGAACGGAAAGGCCCAAGCUUGCUUGGGUACUCGAGUGGCGAACGGGUGAGUAACACGUGGGUGAUCUGCCCUGCACUUCGGGAUAAGCCUGGGAAACUGGGUCUAAUACCGGAUAGGACCACUUCUUGGAUGUUGUGGUGGAAAGUUUUUUCGGUGUGGGAUGAGCUCGCGGCCUAUCAGCUUGUUGGUGGGGUAAUGGCCUACCAAGGCGUCGACGGGUAGCCGGCCUGAGAGGGUGUACGGCCACAUUGGGACUGAGAUAAGGCCCAGACUCCUACGGGAGGCAGCAGUGGGGAAUAUUGCACAAUGGGCGCAAGCCUGAUGCAGCGACGCCGCGUGGGGGAUGACGGCCUUCGGGUUGUAAACUCCUUUCGCUAGGGACGAAGCGUUUUGUGACGGUACCUGGAGAAGAAGCACCGGCUAACUACGUG
This 467-nucleotide ribosomal RNA is filed under the name uncultured bacterium. RNAcentral describes it as "partial 16S ribosomal RNA". It matches the Rfam family "Bacterial small subunit ribosomal RNA", at positions 28 to 507 of the family's 1533-position model. The record is from RNAcentral.